This 500-nucleotide ribosomal RNA is filed under the name uncultured bacterium. RNAcentral's name for it is "partial 16S ribosomal RNA". It matches the Rfam family "Bacterial small subunit ribosomal RNA", at positions 30 to 523 of the family's 1533-position model. The record is from RNAcentral.
AUUGAACGCUGGCGGAAUGCUUUACACAUGCAAGUCGAACGGCAGCACGGACUUCGGUCUGGUGGCGAGUGGCGAACGGGUGAGUAAUACAUCGGAACGUGCCCAGUCGUGGGGGAUAACGUAGCGAAAGCUACGCUAAUACCGCAUACGAUCUAAGGAUGAAAGCGGGGGACCGUAAGGCCUCGCGCGAUUGGAGCGGCUGAUGGCAGAUUAGGUAGUUGGUGGGGUAAAGGCUCACCAAGCCGACGAUCUGUAGCUGGUCUGAGAGGACGACCAGCCACACUGGGACUGAGACACGGCCCAGACUCCUACGGGAGGCAGCAGUGGGGAAUUUUGGACAAUGGGCGCAAGCCUGAUCCAGCCAUUCCGCGUGCAGGAUGAAGGCCCUCGGGUUGUAAACUGCUUUUGUACGGAACGAAAAGGCUCUGGUUAAUACCCGGGGCUCAUGACGGUACCGUAAGAAUAAGCACCGGCUAACUACGUGCCAGCAGCCGCCGUAA